AAUGUACAAAACAAAACAAAAAAAAAAAAAAAAAAAAAAAAAAAAAAAAAAAAAAAAAAAAAAAAAAAAAAAAAAAAGCUCCAGCUUCUGUCCAGUCAAGCCAAGCUUCUGCCUAGUCAAGCCAAGCUUUGUUUCUAGUUCCAGUCCCCGUUGGCCCGGAGGAGGCCAUUCCAGUCCCCGUUGGCCCGGAGGAGGCCAUUCCAAUCCCUGUUGGCACGGAGGCGGCCAUCCAUGUCUUUGACACUCCGGUAAAGUGGACCUCUCUAGUCCCUCAUCCUAAUAGUCCUGCGCUGACUCCUCGAAUUCUAGUUUCUUAUGGACCGAUAAAGUGGUCCCCUCUAGUCCUGGUUCCAGAUGGUCUGCCGUGAAUCCCUCCAGGCCUAGUUCUCGGGCCUAGGCCCGACAAAUUGGACCCCUCUUGUCCUGUUUCCUAGUGGUCCGAGGAGACAACUCCAACCUCAGUUCCUGGUGGUCCAAAGAGGAACACGCCAGUUGUGUUUCCUGGUGGUCUGGAGGUGACCAUGCCUGCUGCAUUUACUGGUGGUCCGGAGAACAUGCCAACAUCAGUUCCUGGUGGUCCAAAGAGAAACAUGCUAGUUGUUUUUCCUGGUGGUCCAGAGGAGACCACACCAGCCCUGUCAUGACUCUGUACCUUUUGCUAUAUCCUGGGUUAUUUUGGUACUAUUCCUGUUUUGUUCCUGCCGGUCUUAGUUUUAGCUUUACUUUGUCAUCAUUGUUUCCUGUUUUACUGUUCUUACUUCUUGUCCUGCCAUAUGCAAUCAGUUCUUGCUUUCUCAUUACUCAUCCAUAAUCCAUAAUCAGGUUAUGCAUUUAAGCCUUAGUUUUCCUCACGCUCGCCGCUCGAUUGUUAGCUCAUGUCCCUGUGUCUACUCUCCAGCAUUCAUUCAAGUAAGUCUGGAUCUUGUUUUUGACCGUGUCUUGCUUGGUCCCUGUCUGUACUGUUUUGCACUCUGUCUUGUUGGUUGACCCCUUCCUGGACACUGACUGCCAUUGCCUGAUCCCUGUCUGUACCGUUGCCUUCAUUCUGCUACUUUGUGCACCUUUGCCUGACUAACCAUGAGACAUAUUAAAAUUCCCUCACUCAAAGCGUUGUCUGCUGUGCUGUGCAUUUGGGUCCUACACCAAACUGCAUCCCUGACAGAACAAUAUGGCCAAUCUUGGACCCAGCCAGCUCCUCCAAGUUGGUGACUUUUUGUUCUAGAUUAUUUUCUUUUGUGCUU
RNAcentral lists this long non-coding RNA (1241 nucleotides) under Betta splendens (Siamese fighting fish). RNAcentral describes it as "lncRNA (ENSBSLG00000011900.1)". The record is from RNAcentral. Lineage: Eukaryota; Metazoa; Chordata; Actinopteri; Anabantiformes; Osphronemidae.